RNAcentral lists this ribosomal RNA (1359 nucleotides) under uncultured bacterium. RNAcentral describes it as "bacterial SSU rRNA". It matches the Rfam family "Bacterial small subunit ribosomal RNA", at positions 28 to 1381 of the family's 1533-position model. The record is from RNAcentral.
AUUGAACGCUGGCGGCAGGCUUAACACAUGCAAGUCGAGCGGGGUGAUGGUGCUUGCACUAUCACUUAGCGGCGGACGGGUGAGUAAUGCUUAGGAAUCUGCCUAUUAGUGGGGGACAACAUUUCGAAAGGAAUGCUAAUACCGCAUACGUCCUACGGGAGAAAGCAGGGGAUCUUCGGACCUUGCGCUAAUAGAUGAGCCUAAGUCGGAUUAGCUAGUUGGUGGGGUAAAGGCCUACCAAGGCGACGAUCUGUAGCGGGUCUGAGAGGAUGAUCCGCCACACUGGGACUGAGACACGGCCCAGACUCCUACGGGAGGCAGCAGUGGGGAAUAUUGGACAAUGGGCGCAAGCCUGAUCCAGCCAUGCCGCGUGUGUGAAGAAGGCCUUAUGGUUGUAAAGCACUUUAAGCGAGGAGGAGGCUACUUUAGUUAAUACCUAGAGAUAGUGGACGUUACUCGCAGAAUAAGCACCGGCUAACUCUGUGCCAGCAGCCGCGGUAAUACAGAGGGUGCAAGCGUUAAUCGGAUUUACUGGGCGUAAAGCGCGCGUAGGCGGCUAAUUAAGUCAAAUGUGAAAUCCCCGAGCUUAACUUGGGAAUUGCAUUCGAUACUGGUUAGCUAGAGUGUGGGAGAGGAUGGUAGAAUUCCAGGUGUAGCGGUGAAAUGCGUAGAGAUCUGGAGGAAUACCGAUGGCGAAGGCAGCCAUCUGGCCUAACACUGACGCUGAGGUGCGAAAGCAUGGGGAGCAAACAGGAUUAGAUACCCUGGUAGUCCAUGCCGUAAACGAUGUCUACUAGCCGUUGGGGCCUUUGAGGCUUUAGUGGCGCAGCUAACGCGAUAAGUAGACCGCCUGGGGAGUACGGUCGCAAGACUAAAACUCAAAUGAAUUGACGGGGGCCCGCACAAGCGGUGGAGCAUGUGGUUUAAUUCGAUGCAACGCGAAGAACCUUACCUGGCCUUGACAUAGUAAGAACUUUCCAGAGAUGGAUUGGUGCCUUCGGGAACUUACAUACAGGUGCUGCAUGGCUGUCGUCAGCUCGUGUCGUGAGAUGUUGGGUUAAGUCCCGCAACGAGCGCAACCCUUUUCCUUAUUUGCCAGCGAGUAAUGUCGGGAACUUUAAGGAUACUGCCAGUGACAAACUGGAGGAAGGCGGGGACGACGUCAAGUCAUCAUGGCCCUUACGGCCAGGGCUACACACGUGCUACAAUGGUCGGUACAAAGGGUUGCUACCUAGCGAUAGGAUGCUAAUCUCAAAAAGCCGAUCGUAGUCCGGAUUGGAGUCUGCAACUCGACUCAAUGAAGUCGGAAUCGCUAGUAAUCGCGGAUCAGAAUGCCGCGGUGAAUACGUUCCCGGGCCU